RNAcentral lists this small nuclear RNA (19 nucleotides) under Arabidopsis thaliana (thale cress). RNAcentral describes it as "snRNA_00854". Lineage: Eukaryota; Viridiplantae; Streptophyta; Magnoliopsida; Brassicales; Brassicaceae. The record is from RNAcentral.
CAAGGUGGACCAAAAUGUC